UGGUCUCGAUCUCCUGACCUCGUGAUCCACCCACCUCGGCCUCCCAAAGUGCUGGGAUUACAGGCGUGAGCCACCGUGCCUGGCCGGCAAUUUUUUAAAAUCAGUUGGCUUCAUCAAUUGAUUCUUCCUUUUAUGAAAGAUUUCUCUGUAGCAUGUAACGCCAUUUGAUAGCAUUUUAUGCACAGUAGAACUUAUUUCAAAUUGGUGUCAAUCUUCUCAAACCCUGCCACUGCUUUAUCAACUUACUUUGUUAUAUCCUAAAUCUUUUGGUUUUUGUUUGUUUGUUUUGAGACAGAGUCUCGUUCCUUGGCCUCCCAAAGUGCUGGAAUUACAGGCGUGAGCCACCACGCCCGGCCGGAAGUGUAUUUUUUAAAUAAUAAGACUUGAAAGUUGAAUUUACUCCUUGAUCCAUGGGCUGUAGAAUGGACGUUUCUUCCCUUAAACCUCAUGAACCAAGAACCAACCUCUGCUAGCUUCCAACUUUUCUUCUGCAAUUUCCUCACUUCUCUCAUCCUGCAUAGGAUUGAAGAGAGUUGGGGCCUUGCUCUGGAUUCGGCUUUGGCUGAAGGGA
This 571-nucleotide long non-coding RNA is filed under the name Homo sapiens (human). RNAcentral describes it as "non-protein coding lnc-SERPINB6-8:2". Lineage: Eukaryota; Metazoa; Chordata; Mammalia; Primates; Hominidae. The record is from RNAcentral.